GUGGGAUGCCUCAUGGCAGGAUGUGGCCACAUCAGCCGUCAGGGAGCCUCUCUCAGCCUGACACUGUAUAUAGCACAGAGCUGUGAACAGAAGGCCUGUGUUGUCUCUGCACUGAACUGCCAGACGCGCCCCCUCUUAUCGGUGCAGAGGCUGGGAGGCUGGCAGUCUGGAUUUCAGGAAAAGGAGACAAUGAUGAAAGUUAUGUUGUGCCCGCAUCCAAGCCUUAUCUGCUGCUGUUUCCAUCAUUUCUGAAAAUCCACUCUUAGCAGCAAAACUUUUGUGAGGCCAGGGAGGGUCCCUUAUUAAGGCCUGAUUAGCAUGGCCUGGUGUCUCCGGUUAGCCAGCCUCUACCAAGGCUCCGAGGAAAGGCGCAUUUCAUGUUACUUCCAGUCCAGCCCCUCUCUCUCUGCCUUGGUUGAGUUUCAUGUCUUCCUCAUCUUCAGCAGAGAUGAUUAAAAUAACCACCUCACAACUCCUAUGGGUUGCCAUCUGUGAUGGUUAAUACUGUCAACUGGAUUGGGUUGAAGGAUAUAGAGUAUUGAUCUUGGGUGUAUCUGUGAGGGUGCUGCCAAAGGAGAUUCACAUUUGAGCCAGUGGACUGGGGAAGGGCAGACUCACCCUUAGUCUGGUGGGUACAAUCUAAUCAGCUGCCAAUGCGGCUAGAAUAUAAGCAGGCAGAAAAGUGUGAAAAGAGAGACUGGCCUAGCCUCCCAGCCUUCUUCUUUCUCCCAUGCUGGAUGCUUCCUGCCCUCAAACGUCGAACUUCCAGUUCUUCUGUUUUGGAAAUUAGACUGGCUCUUCUUGCUCCUAGGCCUGCAGACAGCCUAUUGUAGGCCCUUGUGAUCAUGUGAGUUAAUACUUAAUAAAUUCCCCUUUAUGUACAUAUCUAUUCCAUUAGUUCUUUCCCUCUAGAGAACCCUGACUAAUACACCAUCUCACACCGCAGCAACCUCCACUUUGCAGCCAGAUCCUUGGUCUAUAUCUUCCAGGGUCCUAACAGGGAGCAGCAUUCCGUUCAUUUGGUUAGUGGAAGAGACUUUAAGGAAGGAAGGAAAUGUUUACAGAAGUAGAGUCAGGGUCAAGGGCUCUAACAAGGACUGUGGGCACUGAGACUAGAAUGGGAGGAAAACAUCUUCUAGGACAAAAGAAAAAAAAGUGUGAGGGGAGGCCCUGAAGCUGUAGAGACAGUGGCCCAGCAGAAACGGUGUUUGGUAUCUACAGUGAACACUUCUGAGUCCUUGUCACAUCCCCUCAGCCUCCUACUGACUUCAGCUGCAAUUGCCGUCUGACCCUGACAGCUUUCUGCUGAAGGAAAGGCAAGUGUCCUUCUGAUUUAUCUCCAAGGCCUUCUCUAAAGCCGCACCUGCUUGGCUUGCUUGGAAGUGCAGCUGGAAAACCUGGAAGCCGCAGAGCCUCUGCAGCACCCAGCAAACAGCGGGUGGGGCACAGGAGCCAACAAAUCAACCUGCAGCCUCCCACCCUUCCCACAGAAGUCCCAGAGACGUUCUGUGCAUUUCUCAGAGGUCCCCCAGAGGCAAAUUCCAGUAGGUUCCUCUUAUUUGAUUUCCUUGUCUCCUGUCUGACCCUCCCUACUCCCCCAUUCUUGGAAUCACCUUCCAAAUAAAUCUCUGGAGCCCAAGUCCCUGCCCUGUGCUCUGCUUGCUGGGGAGCCCAUCUAACCUAUGGAGAGUCACAACUAUGACCAGAGUAGAGCCUAAAGCAGGGAAGUGGGGGUGAGCAUGGGAGGGGGGAGAAAUAUCCGUGCACAUCCCUUUCUCUCAAUCUGAAAACUACUUGUGUAUCUAAUGGGUGCAAUGAACAGAAAGCCAGCAGUGAGCCUGGGAGUGCAGUCUUUGGGGGUCAGCUUCCCAGACAGAGGAGAGAAGAGAAAGAAG
This is a long non-coding RNA of Callithrix jacchus (white-tufted-ear marmoset), 1895 nucleotides long. The record is from Ensembl. NCBI's taxonomy places the organism in Eukaryota, Metazoa, Chordata, Mammalia, Primates, Cebidae.